CCUACGGGAGGCAGCAGUGGGGAAUCUUGCGCAAUGGUCGAAAGACUGACGCAGCGACGCCGCGUGUGGGAGGACGCCUUUCGGGGUGUAAACCACUGUUGCCCGGGACGAACAGGCUCAUUCGUGAGCCCUGACGGUACCGGGUGAGGAAGCACCGGCUAACUCCGUGCCAGCAGCCGCGGUAAUACGGAGGGUGCGAGCGUUGUCCGGAAUCAUUGGGCGCAAAGGGCGCGUAGGUGGCCCGGUCAGUUCGUGGUGAAAGCGCGGGGCUCAACCCUGCGUCGGCCAUGAAUACUGCCGCGGCUGGAGCACUGUAGAGGCAGGCGGAAUUCCGGGUGUAGCGGUGGAAUGCGUAGAGAUCCGGAAGAACACCGGUGGCGAAGGCGGCCUGCUGGGCAGUUGCUGACACUGAGGCGCGACAGCGUGGGGAGCAAACAGGAUUAGAUACCCUGGUAGUCCACGCCGUAAACGAUGGGCACUAGGCGCUUGGGGGAGCGACCCCCCGAGGGCCGGCGCUAACGCAUUAAGUGCCCCGCCUGGGGAGUACGGCCGCAAGGCUGAAACUCAAAGGAAUUGACGG
This 580-nucleotide ribosomal RNA is filed under the name uncultured bacterium. RNAcentral describes it as "bacterial SSU rRNA". It matches the Rfam family "Bacterial small subunit ribosomal RNA", at positions 338 to 916 of the family's 1533-position model. The record is from RNAcentral.